UACGAAGGGGGCUAGCGUUGUUCGGAAUUACUGGGCGUAAAGCGCGCGUAGGCGGUUUUGCAAGCCAGAGGUGAAAUGCCUGAGCUCAACUCAGGAAUGGCCUUUGGGACUGCGAGGCUUUGAGGACUGGGGAGGUGAGUGGAAUUCCCAGUGUAGAGGUGAAAUUCGUAGAUAUGGGGAAGAACACCGGUGGCGAAGGCGGCUCACUGGCCAGUUUCUGACGCUGUAGCGCGAAAGCGUGGGGAUCAAACAGG
This 254-nucleotide ribosomal RNA is filed under the name uncultured bacterium. RNAcentral's name for it is "partial 16S ribosomal RNA". It matches the Rfam family "Bacterial small subunit ribosomal RNA", at positions 524 to 776 of the family's 1533-position model. The record is from RNAcentral.